UGAUGAUAUUAAGGGUAAUUUCUAAGCAUACCCUUAAAUCUUUCCAAAACUUGGUAAAGAUUUUCUCCUUCUUUCUGCAUGAAACUCAGUAUCUCACUUCUCAAAUA
This is a non-coding RNA of Capsicum annuum, 107 nucleotides long. The record is from Rfam. NCBI's taxonomy places the organism in Eukaryota, Viridiplantae, Streptophyta, Magnoliopsida, Solanales, Solanaceae.